Molecule: ribosomal RNA, 468 nt
Filed under: uncultured bacterium
Lineage: Bacteria
Description: partial 16S ribosomal RNA
Rfam family: Bacterial small subunit ribosomal RNA
Source: RNAcentral
GACGAACGCUGGCGGCGUGCUUAACACAUGCAAGUCGAACGGAAAGGCCCUGCUUUUGUGGGGUGCUCGAGUGGCGAACGGGUGAGUAACACGUGAGUAACCUGCCCUUGACUUUGGGAUAACUUCAGGAAACUGGGGCUAAUACCGGAUAGGAGCUCCUGCUGCAUGGUGGGGGUUGGAAAGUUUCGGUGGUUGGGGAUGGACUCGCGGCUUAUCAGCUUGUUGGUGUGGUAGUGGCUUACCAAGGCUUUGACGGGUAGCCGGCCUGAGAGGGUGACCGGCCACAUUGGGACUGAGGUACGGCCCAGACUCCUACGGUAGGCAGCAGUGGGGAAUAUUGCACAAUGGGCGGAAGCCUGAUGCAGCAACGCCGCGUGCGGGAUGACUGCCUUCGGGUUGUAAACCGCUUUCGCCUGUGACGAAGCGUGAGUGACGGUAAUGUGUAAAGAAGCACCGGCUAACUACGUG